This 1387-nucleotide long non-coding RNA is filed under the name Homo sapiens (human). RNAcentral describes it as "HSALNT0398647". Lineage: Eukaryota; Metazoa; Chordata; Mammalia; Primates; Hominidae. The record is from RNAcentral.
AGGGCGGGACCUGUGAGUCUCUCAGCAUCGUUCCCAGCGCAGAGGCAUUUUUCGGGUUUUGGAGGCGAGACCGGCCAGGAAGGCUGAGGCAUGAUUCAAAAGCCCUGGAAUUAUCUGGAACGGGGAUGCAAACUAGAAUGUGAAAUGCAAAGCCCUGCCUGGGCGGAAGGUACAAUUUCAUGCUGAUAGCCCACAGAACCGAAUAGAAAUCCUCUCCCUUUCUAUUCUCCAUUCACUUGGGAGAGAGUCCACGCUGUGCUCAGCUUUAGAGACUCAGGCCACUGCCUGAGAUGCAGGAUGGAGUGCUCAGGCCAAGGAUGGGUGAGGUCACCACCUGCGGCUUAAACACAGCUGGGAUAUGGGCGCGGGAGUGGGAGCCUGAGGUCCCAGCUAUUCAGGAAGCAGCGGCGGGAGGAUCGCCGAGCCUGGGAGUUCAGGCCAGCCUGGGCGACAAAGUAACACCCCCUCCCGCAGGGCUCCCUUCCUCGUCUCUCUCUCUCUUUUCUUUUUUAUAAUAAAAUUUUUGAUGAUGUUACAUAGGGAUCCAACAUUAUUCUUUUCCACGUGGAUAUCCAGUUAGUUGUCCCAGCGUAUUUGUGUAAGAGAUCUAUCAGUUUCUUUUUUUGUUUCUUGAGAUGGAGUUUUGCUCUAGUUGACCAGGCUGGAGUGCAAUGGCGCGAUCUCUGUCUCCCAGGUUCAAUCGAUUCUCAUGCCUCUAUCUCCCAAGUAGCUGGGAUCACAGGGAUGUGCCACCAUGCCCUGCUAAUUUUGUAUUUUUAGUAGAGAUGGGAUUUCUCCAUGUUGGUCAGGUUGGUCUCAAAUUUCCGACCUCAAGUAAUCCGCCCGCCUCGGCCUCCCAAAGUGCUGGGAUUACAGGUGUGAGCAACUGCACCCUGCCCAUUCUUCUUGACGUAAACACUUUUUAUGUCAAUUAAUGCUUGAACUCAAUGUUAAGUCAACUCAAACUCUAGUCAAUGCAGAAUUGACUCUAAUGUCAAUUAAAGUUUGUCAUUUUCUAUAGUCAUUGUAUUUGGGACAAUUAUCUCAAAAAUGAAUUUUCUACUGUUCUGCAAGGAGUGACCUCAGACUAAAGACAUUGCCACACCUAUUCCAUUUGUAAGAUUUCUGUCCAGUAUAGAUUCCCUGAUGUCUAAUGCGGUGUGAAUGUAAAGUAAAGACAUUGCCACACUGGGCGUGGUGGCUCAUGCCUGUAAUACCAGCACUUUGGGAGGCCGAGGCAGGCGGAUCACAAGAUCAAGAGUUGAGAGCAACCAGGCCAACAUGGUGAAACCCUGUCUCUACUAAAAACAUAAAAAUUAGCCAGGCUUGGUGGAGCAUGCUUGUAGUCCCAGCUACUCAGGAGGCUAGGAAGGAGAAUCGUAUGAAC